CACCUACCAAGACCCUUCUCUGACCACUCCAGGGCACAAUACUUUCAAGAUACUCUAAAAACCUAUGACAUGUGCAAUUUUUUUAUGUACAUAAAAAAUUGAUUAUAUGCUAUAUAGUAUCCCUAUUGAUUUCUUUUUUUGGGGUCUGUGAACGUUUCAUAUCUAAGAACAGACACAAACUUUCUGAGGGCUUGGUACCAAUUACCACAAUUAUUUAGCACAAAAUUGCCAUUUUGUUAAAAUUCAGCUGAUUUAAUGAAUAGUCACAUAGUCGUGUAGUCAUUCAAAUGGUAUCUCCAAAGGAUGUUGAAAGAAACAACCAGAGUUUAUAAAACCUUAUUUUCUACAGAACCCAAACUGAAUGAUGUAGAUGACUUAGACAUUACUAUAUCAGAAGGCUCAGGGCUAGACCAGGUAAGUCCUUGAAAUUAUCUUCCAAAGGGCUGCCAAGGUGAUUAUCUGUAACAUCUAAAGAUAUAAGAAUAUCGAGACCAGUCAGGGUUGACCUCUCUUUUUGAAAAUAGAUGAGGUUUUCCUUUAGGGUAGGGCGCUUUAGAGUAGACCAAAUAAGUAAAGGCAACCGCAGUUUUAAAAAAAUUUCAAGGGGUGCCUGGGUGGCUCAGUUGGCUAAGUGUCUGACUCUUGAUAUUGGCUUAGGUCAUGAUCUCAUGGUUCGUGGGAUUGAGCCCUGCGUUGGGAUCUUUGCUGACAGCAUGGAGCCUGCUUGGGAUUCUUCCUCUCCCUCUGCCCGUCCCCCCACUUGCUCGCACACACGUGUUCUAUCUUUCUCUCUCAAAAUAAAAAGCACACACAAAAAAAAAGAAAUUUCAAGAACAUAAAGAACAGGUUCCUCCAGUAAAAAUGUACCGAACGCAUGUGUGUUUAUGCCAUGGACACAAAGACAAAUCAGGUAUGUACUUGGUCUUUAGGAAACUAUGAUUCAGUAGGAGAGGUUAGAUAUGUGUGCAAAUCAACAUAUGAAAGAAAUCAAGAAGAGAGUCCUAGGAAUUACUAUGAAGUUUAGCAGAAGAAAAACUGCAUAUUGUUUGGGGGAAAUCAUAAAGAAGAUUCCUGGAGAGGACAGUAUUUUUUAACUGGACUAUGAAGAACAGAUUAAAUGGAGGAAAUGGAGGAAAGAGAAGAUAAUUAAUCGUACACAGUACAGUAAAUGACUAAGCUAAUUUUACAAAUCCUAACAUUUGACACUACAGCCCAAGGUACAGAGCCAAGUUUUGCUGUUACUCACAGUACUAGCUAGAUCAUAUAUAAACAGAUGAUUUCUUUUGAUAGUUUCUUCAUCUCCUAAUUAAAGUAAAAAAUAUUAACUUCAUAGAAAUUAAUGUCACAUAUCCAUUAAAAUCCAUAGUAAUAAAUGGAAUAUUUCACUUAACAAAAGAAAAUGAAAAAUGGAAGUAAAUAUUUUUAGAAUACAAAUAAAUACAUUGUAUACUUUUUCCUCUCCUUCAGGUGAUGACAAUAGUGCUUUUUCCUCUUGCUCUGGUGUAGGCUCAGCAUCUCCAGAGAUGAGCUUUCCAAAUACCUGAUAAAGACAGGAAUGUGAGAAGGAAUCAAUGGCAGUAAUUACUAGUGUGAAACCUAAAGGAUGCAUGAGCUAAUACUGCAGGUUUUAUAAUAUUACUAUGCUGUUCUUGCUAUACGCUACUACUUUUAAGAAUUAAUGAAUGCAAAAUGAAACAUAGGAGUUUAGGGCUAGGAGAAGAAGAGAAAAUGGGUCAUAUGUUUGCCAGCCAUCUCUAACAAGCUUUACAAAGUAUUCUGUUACCCUUUGGUAUCAGCAUUGCAGAAGAUAUGAUUUCAGUGUAUCGUGUGCCAGAACCUGGAGUGAGGACACUCACUUGAGACGUAAUAAGUCUGAACACUCGCAGAGUCUCGGCUUCACAGUUCCUUUGCUGGGCCACACUGGCUGAAAUCUGGCCAGCAAUUUUUGUGCUUUCACCAUCCUUCCAGCCCAGGACUUUUACUUGUCGAACUCUCAGUGUAUUUUCUGGGCCCUUUAAUUCAAUCUUGAUGAUGUGAUUAUCCCCUCCUGGAAGUUCACUUGUUACCCAACCAAUGUGCCUAGAAUCCAGAUCAACCUAGCAAACAGAAAAGGGAUAGAAACCUGAUACAGCCAUAUCACUCUCUUAUCAAGGUCCUAGACUUAGCGCUAAUAACUGCAAGCUCAAAUAACAAAGACUUGUACGGAGACUAAGGUUUACUGUGUUAUUUCACACUGACUAUCUUACUUAAGCCUGGUGAGGAUAAGUAAUACUACAGUAGCUAUUAUACAGAUGAAGUGAGGUUAA
Molecule: long non-coding RNA, 2306 nt
Filed under: Lynx pardinus (Iberian lynx)
Lineage: Eukaryota; Metazoa; Chordata; Mammalia; Carnivora; Felidae
Source: RNAcentral